GUCCUGGCCCUAAACGGUGUUCACUUGCCGUAGGGGAUUCGACCCCUUCUGUGGCGAAGCGAAAGCAUUAAGUGAACCGCCUGGGGAGUACGGUCGCAAGAUUAAAACUCAAAGGAAUUGACGGGGCCCGCACAAGCGGUGGAGCAUGUGGCUUAAUUCGAUGCAACGCGAAGAACCUUACCUGGCCUUGACAUCUAACGUGAAAGUCGGUGAAAGCCGAUGACGGCCCGAAAGGGUGCUGGGGUUAGACAGGUGCUGCAUGGUUGUCGU
Molecule: ribosomal RNA, 270 nt
Filed under: uncultured bacterium
Lineage: Bacteria
Description: partial 16S ribosomal RNA
Rfam family: Bacterial small subunit ribosomal RNA
Source: RNAcentral